RNAcentral lists this long non-coding RNA (234 nucleotides) under Gossypium barbadense (sea-island cotton). RNAcentral describes it as "long non-coding RNA (GBAR_LNC000600)". The record is from RNAcentral. Lineage: Eukaryota; Viridiplantae; Streptophyta; Magnoliopsida; Malvales; Malvaceae.
UUGAGUUUUAAAAAUGUUUCUUAAUUUUGAAAACCCGCGCAGCCUAACACUAGCAGUUUCGACAUAGUACAAAUAUAAUCAGUAAAUAAAAACCAUAGCGAAAGAAGAGAUUUAAAUAGCGGCCUUAUUACAACUUAAAACCCAAAACUAAAUUAGAAUAUAAAAAUAAUAAAAAUAAACUAACUUAGAAACACCAACUUUGCAGAUGAUGUGACCACUCCGAAUCCCUCACAG